This 771-nucleotide ribosomal RNA is filed under the name uncultured Bacillota bacterium. RNAcentral describes it as "bacterial SSU rRNA". It matches the Rfam family "Bacterial small subunit ribosomal RNA", at positions 65 to 818 of the family's 1533-position model. The record is from RNAcentral. Lineage: Bacteria; Bacillati; Bacillota.
AGCUUUUCUGUAGCAAUACAGAGGAGCUUCUAGUGGCGCACGGGUGAGUAACACGUGGGCAACCUGCCCUUGAGUUCGGGAUACCCUCUCGAAAGGGAGGCUAAUACCGGAUACGUUCUUCGGAUCGCAAGGUCUGGAGAGGAAAGGUAGCGAAAGCUGCCGCUCUUGGAGGGGCUCGCGGCCUAUCAGCUAGUUGGUGAGGUCAUGGCUCACCAAGGCGAUGACGGGUAGCUGGUCUGAGAGGACGACCAGCCACACGGGAACUGAGACACGGUCCCGACUCCUACGGGAGGCAGCAGUGGGGAAUUUUCCGCAAUGGGCGAAAGCCUGACGGAGUGACGCCGCGUGGGGGACGAAGGCCUUCGGGUUGUAAACCCCUGUCAGAGGGAAAGAAGGGUCGGCGCGUGAACAGCGCGUCGAUCUGACGGUACCUUCAGAGGAAGCCCCGGCCAACUCUGUGCCAGCAGCCGCGGUAAGACAGAGGGGGCAAGCGUUGCUCGGAAUUACUGGGCGUAAAGGGCGCGUAGGCGGGAUGGCAAGUCGGUCGUGAAAUCCCUGGGCUCAACUCAGGGGGGUCGGCCGAUACUGCCAUUCUUGAGGGAUGCAGAGGAGACUGGAAUUCCCGGUGUAGCGGUGAAAUGUGUAGAGAUCGGGAGGAACACCGGUGGCGAAGGCGGGUCUCUGGGCAUUCCCUGACGCUGAGGCGCGAAAGCGUGGGGAGCAAACGGGAUUAGAUACCCCGGUAGUCCACGCGGUAAACGAUGACGACUA